RNAcentral lists this unclassified non-coding RNA (381 nucleotides) under soil metagenome. RNAcentral's name for it is "partial contains 5.8S ribosomal RNA, internal transcribed spacer 2, and large subunit ribosomal RNA". The stretch from base 1 to 120 matches the Rfam family "5.8S ribosomal RNA", at positions 35 to 154 of the family's 154-position model. The record is from RNAcentral.
GAUGAAGAACGUAGCGAAAUGCGAUAAGUAAUGUGAAUUGCAGAAUUCAGUGAAUCAUCGAAUCUUUGAACGCACCUUGCGCUCCUUGGUAUUCCGAGGAGCAUGCCUGUUUGAGUGUCAUUAAAUUCUCAACCUCACCAACUUUUGUUGUGUGAAGGCUUGGAUGUGGAGGCUGCAGGUCCGCUAACGCGGUCUGCUCCUCUGAAAUGUAUUAGUGGGUUUGGUCCCCUAAUCUAUUGGUGUGAUAAUUAUCUACGCCGUGGAUCAAGGGACUGAUAGAGCCUGCUUCUAACCGUCCCUAACAAGGACAAUUCUUGACAAUUUUGACCUCAAAUCAGGUAGGACUACCCGCUGAACUUAAGCAUAUCAAUAAGCGGAGGA